CUUAUUGUAUAAAUAGGACCUCAUUGGCAAUACUAAAGCGUUUUGAUGUUAUGAAGCAAGCCAAACACUUCAAAGUUUUGGCUUGCUGUAUUUUGGAAGUUUGGACAGCUUUUUCAUGGCUCUGAAUCAGAUUACUAUCAAAGAUAACUAUUAUUGAAGAGCUUCUGGAUGAACUUGGGUUCCCAAUGGUAUCUCAGGUUUGGAUACCAUCAAAUCAGGAUGGCCACAUCUGAUACCACAAAACCACAUUAAGAACAUGUUCUGGCAACAAUGAGUUCUUAGUGAUGCCUUUUGGAUUGACAAUGCUCCCUUCAGUUUUUAAAAGCACUUAAGGAGUUGUGGAUAAGUUGGUAGACAAAGAAGGCUUUUAUCAGAGGCAGACAGAUCAUGGAUGCAGUGCUUAUUGCUAAUGAAGCAAUUGAUUCUAGAGUGUCCCAGUGUAUACUAUGCAAACUUGAUAUUGAGAAAGCAUCUGGCCAUGUGAAUUGGGAUUUCAUUCUAAUUAUGCUCAGACAAAUGGGAUUUGGUAGCAGAUGGAUCGGUUGGAUCAAGUUUUGUAUUUCAACUGUUAAGUUUUAGUACUCAUCAAUGGGUCUCUUGAAGGCUUUUUCAGUGAACACAGAGGAGUUAGGCAAGGGGAUCCCUUAUCACCCUUCUUUUUCAUCAUAGCUAUGGAGGGACUUAACAAUAUAUUGAAGAUAGCCAAGACAACUGGACAGGGAUUUGAAGUCAGUAAGGUUGCUGGGAAUAGUAUGGAGAUCACACACCUACAAUAUGCUCAUGAUACACUAAUAUUUUGUGGGGCUGAGGAAGAGCAAUUGCUGAUUUUGAGACUUAUACUAGUCUACUUUGAAGCCAUAUAUGGUAUACAUAUAAACUGGAACAAAAGCCAUUUGUAUCCAAUUAAUGUGGUUCCGGAUAUGGAACACCUCUCACAAACCUUGGGAGGAGUGAUAGGUAUUCUGCCAUCAGUACACUUGGCCAUGCCUUUGGGGGCAAAGUCUGGAGCCAUAGACAUUUGGAACCCAAUAAUGAAAAAUUGUGAAAACAAAACUAGCCAGAUGGAGAUCAUAAUACCUCUCCUUGGGAGGUAGAUUAACACUGAUAAACUCUGUUCUGGAUGCUCUCCCUACAUAUAUGCUAUCUAUCUUCCAUAUUCCCCAGUAGUUCAGAGGUUGGACAAAAUUAGAAGAAACUUCUUGUGGCAAGGAAAUAAGGAAAGAAAAGGCUUUCACGUAGUCAAGUGGAAGAACAUCCUCAUUAGUAAGAUGUAAGGUGGAUUAGGUAUCAAGAAUCUCAAAAACCAUAACAAAGCUCUUAAGGUGAAAUGGCUAUGAGGUACCAUCAGGGGGACCAAUGGUAUAGGGAGAUCAACAACAAAUAUAAGGAUCUAAAUAAAUGGGUAACCAAAGAGGUAAAUACCCCCAAUGGGAUUAGCCUUUGGAAAUCCAUCCGAAUAUUUUGGCCCUUCUUCAGUAAUUAGUCAACUGUCAAGGUACAAAAUGGCAGAAAAACCAGUUUCUGGUUUGAUAAAUGGUUGGGUAGUAUGAGCCUCAAAGAUCGUUUUCCUGACAUCUUUGCACUGGCUCAACACCAACAGAAGACUGUCACUGAAAUGCGGACACAAUAUCUGAUUUUCAGAAGAAAUCUGAAUGACCGGGAAAUUCCCAGGAUACUUGAAUUGUUCAAGGUUUUGGAGAAUUUUCAAGGUAUACAAACAGGCGAGGAUUAUUUGUGGUGGCAGGGGCACAAGAAAGGUAGUUACAAGGUGAAAGAAGGAUACAAACAGAUAAGUACUGGUGGCAUUCAAGACUUCAAAUGGCCUUGGAAGCAAAUCUGGAGGAUCAAAGUGCCACACAAAGUGGCAUGCUUUACAUGGCUACUAGCCAAUGAAGCAGUUUUGACAUUGGAUAAUGUGGCCAAGAGAGGAAUCUCUCUAUGCAACAAAUGUUCCUUGUGUGGGAAGGCUAAUGAGACAGUGAGACAUCUCUUCUUACAUUGCAACUUUACUGGGCAGAUGUGCAGAUUUUCCUUAAUCUCAGAGGCGUAUCUUGGUGUAUGCCUAGCAAGAUUGAUGAGACUCUAUUCGGUUGGAAGAUGGUUGGAGUUGGGGCUACAAACAGAGAAAGAUGGAGGAUGAUCCCUGCUAGUAUUUACGGACUAUAUGGAGGGAGAGAAACGAGAGAUGUUCUGAGAAUAGGAACAACAACCUGCAGGAAGUUAAGCUUAAGUUUGUUUUGUUGUUAUGCUUUUGGUGUAUAAAUGUCUACUCCAAUGAAACUGAGUCAAUCAUAGAUGUUUUAGGAUCCGUUUAGAUUUGGUUCAGUUUUUUGGAUAGAUUAUACUUCUUUUCUGCUUUUGGAAAUAUGGUUUUCAGUACUAAGUACUAUUUGAAAUACAAAUGUUAGCAGUUUAAAAAAAAAGCACUUAAGGAGGUUCAUCCUGGUAUUCAUUGAUAAUCAUGUGUAUCACUUCAGGAUCACUUUUCAGCUAUUACAGUAAAGAUGGAACUUUUUAAAUGGAAUGAAGGAGCUACCAAGGCAUUUCAGCACUUUAAGGAUGCGUUGAUAUCUGCUUCUGUGUUAGCUGUUCUUAACUUUAACUUGAGUUUCACUGUGGAAACUGAUGGUUGUGAUGUUGGCAUAGGAGCUGCUAUAUGCAUCAUGGGCAACCUAUUGCUUACUUGAGCAAAGGCCUUUCUCUACACCACAAAGUUAUGUCUGUGUAUGAAUAAGAGCCUUUUGUUUUGGCAAUGUCUGUAUCUCACAAGUAAACCCUUCAUUUUCAAAACUGAUCAAAAAAUUCCUGCUUGAACAAUAGUUUCAUAUUGGAUCCCAGUUGAAAAUGAUUACCAAGCUGAUGCAAUUUGAUUUCACUAUUGAACAUAGGAAAGAUAAGGAGAAUAUAGUUGUUUAUGCUUUAUCUCGACUUCCUACAAUUGAGUUGGCUGCACUAACCUUAGCUGUUGUCAGGUCAGCCUUAUUGCAGAGUAGAUGUUGUAAUUGUUGUUGAUUAGGAAUAUGCGGCCUUGUUUAUCUUAUAGAAGUUGUAAAAGGAUAUGGAAGACAACAUAUCCUUGUUUAUCUUGUUGAUUAGGAAUAUGCGACCUUGUUUAUCUUGUAGAAGUUGUAAAAGAUAUGGAAGACAAGGGAUUUCCAUAUGGUAAAAGUUGAGAUGAAGAAAGCAUAUGAUUCUUUGGAGUGGACAUAUUCUGGCUGAACUUAAGAUACCUGCCAAAGUCAUCAAAUGGAUAAUGCAAUGUGUUACAACAAUACUUAUUCCAUUCAGAUAAAUGGGCAUCGUUCAACACUAUUUAAAGCAAAAAGAGGGGUAAGACAAGGAGAUCUAAUGUCCCCUUUUCUUUUUAUGAUUGCUAUGGACUAUUUGACAAGAAUUUUGAAGACCUUGUAAACAAAUCCCGAUUUCCAUUAUCAUCCUAGAUGCAAAAAUCAGAUGAUGGUGCAAUUGAGCUUUGUCUGAUGACUUAUUGAUGUUCUGCAGGGGUGACUUAAAAUCAGUAAAGUGUCUCGGUCAAUGUUUUAUGAUGUUCUCCAAUGCUUCUGGCCUGUUUGCAAACAUAGAUAAGAGCAAUGUAUGUAUACUUUGGUGGAGUCAACCAACAGAUACAAGAGGAGAUAUUGAAGGAAUUGCAGUUUGUUUAGGGGGAUCUUCCAUUUAAAUAUCUUGGAGUUCCUUUGACUACUAAAAGGAUUUUCAUAGUAUAAUGCAAGCCACUUCUAGGCAAGAUGCUAAGUAGGAUUACAAGCUGGAACAAGGCUGCUAUUGAAAACUCUAUUAGCAGAAUCUAUUUGCAUGGAGAAGGUAGGAUGGAGAUCAGUGGCGUGGAAAAAUAUUGAAGCUCCUAAAUGGAUAUUCAUUCUGUAUCUCGCAGUAAAUGGAAGGCAUGCAACUAAAGAUAGAUUGGAGAAAUGGCCGGGGUAUAAUCCAGUCCCCUACAUGUCCUCUAUGUCAGCUAGUGAAUGAGGAGCUAGAUCAUCUAUUUUUCUAGUGUUUAUGUGCUACAAAUAGUGUACUAACUUGACAAGGGGUUAGGAGAGGCAGUAUGAACUGGAAAGAUAAGGUACAUUGGGCAAAAGUAGCAUAACACUUGCUUAUGGAAGGAGCACAACAGGAUAUUCCAACAGAAGCAGCAGUCAGCAAUACUUUAUAUUAUUUGAAUUGUUCUUAUAUUAUGACUAUAUAUCAAAAGCAGAGGUGUUUAACCUCUACAAAUUGCACUUUCAAUCUUGGCAAAUUACCCUUUUUCUUUCCUGUGUUUUGAAUAGCAGCAAUUACCGUCUCUGUGGCGGCUAGAUCUAAGUGGCUCCCAAAGCCUGAACAAAAAUACCAGAUUUCAGGGGUAUGCUUAAUUUGGAGUAUAUGUAUCUAAAUGAAUGUAUGAGUCUCGAAGAGAUUCACCAUUCCCCGGUCUGUUGCAGAAAACUCAUUGAGUUAAGUUUAUAUGAUUGUUAAUGCGGAAUCUCUUAAAUAGCUGAAUCUACGCGGAAUCUCUUAUCAUGUUGCAACAGGCUGUUUGAGUUGCCAAGUUUCAGGGGGAUGCCAAACUUGAAUAUUUUGAAACUCAAUUGCUGCAAUAUAUUAGAUGGAGGACUUCCGGAAGACAUUGGAUGCUUAUCCUCUUUGAAAGAGUUGAGUCUCAUUGGAAAUAAUUGUGAGUAUUUUCCUCGAAUCAUAGUCCAACUUGGUGCUCUUCUAUGCUUGGAUAUAUCACGUCAACCUUACACAGCUGCCAGAAUAUCCACAACAAUUACAUACAAUUAAUGCAGAUUGGAGCAAUGAUUCGAUAUGUAAUUCAUUGUUUCGGAUUAUCUUAUCAUUGCAGCAUGAUAUCUCUGCUUCAGAUUCCUUGCCACUACGAGUACUUACCUCUAGAAAGAAUAUACCUAGUUGGUUCCACCAUUGGGGAACAGGUACAAGUGUAAUGAUCAAUUUGCCUGAAAAUUGGUAUGUACGUGAUAACUUCUUGGGAUUUGCUGUAUGUUAUUCUGGCAAAUUAUUUGACAUCACAGCUAACUUGAUUCCCUUAAUGUGAUGAUGGGAUGUCAUUGAUGAACCAAAAACUUGCCUUAUACAACCAUUUGAAUACGGCACAAGUACUCUACAACCAUUCAUUACGAUGUCCAUCAGCUGAGAUUCAUUUUUUCUUGGUACCGCAUGCUGCCUUAUUGAAUACAUCUAAGGUAAAUGGAAAAACACCAAGAAUUAUGGAUUUCGUUUGUUGUAUAAAGAUGAAGGAAAGCUUAAGUCCUUGUUACAAAUUACGAGAAGUAGUGAUGAACUAAGAGAGAACUCAGUGAAGAAUGAAGCGAGUCGCUCCUCUUAUAAGAAACAAAUGUCACAUUUCUUAUAUUCGCUGGAACUCUGUUUUUGAGAAUCUGCAGCAACAAGUAGAGUGACAGUGUUAUGAAUAUAACUUAGCUGGAGGACCUACGUGAGAAGAUGCCAAAUUACAUUUGGGACCCUGAGAAGAUUCAUAUAUAUAGAAGAGGGAAAUACUCAAUUAGGAUUAUGCUAUGAACUUGUCUCUUGUUUCUUAGUUUCUUUGUCUAAUCUGGAACCUCCCUUCCUUCAUCCUUUUUGUUUCUACUUGUUCCCUUGGAAGGAUUUGUUACUAGUUUUGGAGGAAUUAGAAUGAUGAACUCUUAUAGUUGUACGUGUAAUUCCAAUUAUCCAUUUCAAUACAAUAUGAGUUCAUUACAUUGGUGCUUUCAUUGUUCUUACUCCAUACCUCUUUACUCUUCUUCCAUGCUUGAUGAUCAAUUCAACGCCCUCUCAGAAAUCUGAAUCGUUGAAGGUGCUGCAAAAAUCGAUGAAGGAUCUACAGGCAAAAAACAAGUGUAUGCUCAAGGAGAUGCGAUUGGACUCCACUUCCACUGAUACUCCAGAUAUUUCAGAUGAUAAAACUAUGACCUCUGUGCUAGAGUCAGCUUGCGAUGAUAAUGACACUGAGAUUUCUGAUACUGUGAAAUCACAUUUGGAUUCUCAACUUCUUAUACUUGAUGUUGGAUAUGCAAUACACAAGACCAUUUCUCCCUCUGCAUGAUUAUGGAUAGAAUAACAUUGGUCCAUAUGAUUAAAUACCUACAACUUCCAUUUGAUCCUGGUGUAUACGUCUCAUAUUCCUCUGUGACAUGUGUAACGAUAUUACAAGUAUUAGACAUAUUGAAUAUCCUUGCGUAACUGCUAACCAUGCUGUUGGGGUUGAAUUCUUCUGGUGCAUUAGAGAAGUAUAUUGAUGCAUAUGACUUCAUCCAGUAUUUUUAUUUUUUCAACUUCUACUUGUCCUGGCAGCCAUACAGUAGAGUUGCUUCCGAUCACGGAGACAAUAGUUUUAUUGUGCUUGGGUUGUUGGAGUAGCUAAAUACCAUAGGUGAGGGGCCUGUUGAUUUAUGGUAUAGAUCUGAUGUCGCAAUCAAUCGAACAAUAGGUGUUCUGCGAAGUGGCAAUUGGCCUGGGUUUAUAAUCUCCGCUGACCAAGUAUUGUAUAUUUUUGUGACAAGUGAAUGUGCAAGAACAGUAUUUGGACGUUUGGGGAACCUCAAAUGGUCUUGCAGCAAUGAUAUAAAUCAGAGAGCUGGUGUAAGCUUUGUCUGUGAUGUUCUGAAUGAUGACCUCCAAUAUGAGAAAUGGUACAGUAGUGUUUUUGGACCAGCUACGCGUACUGACUGGUCUUAACCACCUUCAGUUGUCUAAUGGUCACUCAGUUGUUGAAUGGGUUGAUGACUGCUUAGUUGUUGUCUUAUAGAUCAUCUUUGCGAGUUGUAUUCGACCCUUUUAUGGGUUAAUGUUAUUUAGGAUAUCCCUUACAACCAUUUCAAAAAGGAGUAGUCACAUUUUUUCUGAUGCCAAGGUUAGCUUGACUCCUGAUUAGUUUGAACUAUUUAAUCUCAAAACUUCAAAUUUGUAAGUUUGAUCACUGUUGGAUCAAAGAUGGAAUGAUGCUUGAGGAUCUUGUAAAUAAGGCAAUUUUAUUUAUAAAAUAUUGCUUUGAGGUUGAAA
Molecule: long non-coding RNA, 7020 nt
Organism: Solanum pennellii
Lineage: Eukaryota; Viridiplantae; Streptophyta; Magnoliopsida; Solanales; Solanaceae
Exons: 2
Source: RefSeq, a predicted model, not a curated record